AUAGAAAAUAGCAAUAAACCUAAGCGAGGUCUCUUAAUCAAGGACCAGAAGACACGUCUCUUGUGAUUCCUCUUCCUCCCUCUUCACCUUCUCCAGAACUUCUUCCCACUUCUCUGCCUCCACUUCUCCCUCAUCGAUUCCGACAUGGCUUGGUCGUUGUCCUCCAUGUUCCUCUUCUCGUUCCUCGUUUUCAAUCGGGUCGAGGGCAAGCAAGUUUUAGAAGACGGGUACGAGGUUACUACAGUGGUCGACGGUCAUAAGUCUGGUUUGAAUCCACACACGGUUUUACGGCGAGUCCCUCGAUUCCUCUGUCUCACCCGUUCUCAUUCCCGGCGUCCAUGUCUUCCAUUGCCAGGUUCCCAUAUCAAAAAAGCCUCAUAGAUGCUCAUAGGGAUACUGUUUUCCACCAUUCCCGGUUUAAUGAUGAGUUUAGAUCUGAAGAAGAAUCUGAUGAAAAAGAUGAUGAUGGAAGCCUUCAAAACCUCGUGAUUGGGAAGCCCUAUUUGGUGAAGGGAACAAUGAUGAUACCUUUGUGCUAGGCAUUAAGCAUACAAGGAAGAGCAUUAGGCUGUAUAAUGAUUUCAUUACCUCGGACAUGAUUAUUGCUUCCCCUCUCGGGUUACAGUUGGCCUUGGGAAAAGAAGAAGACAAGAAGAGACUGAGCAAAGAAAAAGACAACAAGAAAGUGGUUCUUGAUUACCUGUCCUCCAUCGAGGUACUUUUGUUUACCAUUGCUAAGAAGAUCAUAUAUAUUGGAAGUUGUAUUCUUCAUCUUCUCUCCGUUACAACCUCCUCGGUGGACUUGCUGUUCGCCGUGGUCGUGAAAAGAGUAGUACCAUAGCUUCUGUUUCUUGUUCUUGUUUGUUGUUACUACUACCAAUCUGAUUAUUCAGAAUAAAUCACAAGAGAAACAGGAAGAAGGUAUACGUUCUGCUUCUCAUCAACUCUUGUGUUCUUUUUUUCUUUGACAGGCCCUGAUUCUCAUCAACUCUUGUGCUCGCACUCUUUAUGUUUAUGUCCGUGAGCAGCAAGUUAUUACCUUUCAUGUCAACUGCUGAAUUGAUGAAAAAAGUUAUAAACAAGUACGCGCAAGACUUGUCACUGCCUCACCAUGCCAACAAGCAGUGCAGGUCCGUGUGCCAUUGGGUCUGACCUGUGGUCUUGUUUUCUUCUUGUUGUCUUGUUUUCUUGUAUCACGGACCUAGAGAUUGGUUAGUACAUGUAUAUUGUAUUGUUGUGGUCACGUUGAAAGUGUUUCACGGACAAGAAAUGAAAGGCCUUUGUAAUGAUUGUAUGAUUGUGUAUUCACAAACUUGUAUAAAUAAUAUCUUGUAAUUGUAA
Molecule: long non-coding RNA, 1341 nt
Organism: Brassica oleracea var. oleracea
Lineage: Eukaryota; Viridiplantae; Streptophyta; Magnoliopsida; Brassicales; Brassicaceae
Exons: 5
Source: RefSeq, a predicted model, not a curated record